UACGGGGGGAGCAAGCGUUGUUCGGAUUUACUGGGCGUAAAGGGCGCGUAGGCGGUCGUGACAAGUCACUUGUGAAAUCUCCGGGCUUAACUCGGAACGGUCAAGUGAUACUGUCGGACUAGAGUACAGAAGGGGCAACUGGAAUUCUCGGUGUAGCGGUAGAAAUGCGUAGAUAUCUGGAGGAAUACCGGUGGCGAAGGCGGCAUCCUGGACCGGCAUUGACGGCUGAUGAGCGAAAGCUAGGGGAGCAAACGGG
This 256-nucleotide ribosomal RNA is filed under the name uncultured bacterium. Its description in RNAcentral is "partial 16S ribosomal RNA". It matches the Rfam family "Bacterial small subunit ribosomal RNA", at positions 524 to 776 of the family's 1533-position model. The record is from RNAcentral.